This 497-nucleotide ribosomal RNA is filed under the name uncultured bacterium. RNAcentral's name for it is "partial 16S ribosomal RNA". It matches the Rfam family "Bacterial small subunit ribosomal RNA", at positions 28 to 507 of the family's 1533-position model. The record is from RNAcentral.
GACGAACGCUGGCGGCGUGCCUAAUACAUGCAAGUUGAGCGAUGAAGAUUGGUGCUUGCACCAAUUUGCAGAGCAGCGAACGGGUGAGUAACGCGUGGGGAAUCUGCCUUUGAGCGGGGGACAACAUUUGGAAACGAAUGCUAAUACCGCAUAACAACUUUAAACAUAAGUUUUAAGUUUGAAAGAUGCAAUUGCAUCACUCAAAGAUGAUCCCGCGUUGUAUUAGCUAGUUGGUGAGGUAAAGGCUCACCAAGGCGAUGAUACAUAGCCGACCUGAGAGGGUGAUCGGCCACAUUGGGACUGAGACACGGCCCAAACUCCUACGGGAGGCAGCAGUAGGGAAUCUUCGGCAAUGGACGAAAGUCUGACCGAGCAACGCCGCGUGAGUGAAGAAGGUUUUCGGAUCGGAAAACUCUGUUGGUAGAGAAGAACGUUGGUGAGAGUGGAAAGCUCACCAAGUGACGGUAACUACCCAGAAAGGGACGGCUAACUACGUG